GUCUUUUUGAAAUAAUUUAAAGUCUAAUCUGCCCACUGAUAAAAAUUAAAGGGCUGCAGUAUAAUGACUGUACAAAGGUAGCAUAAUCAAUAGUUUUUUAAUUGAAAACUUGUAUGAAAGAUUUGAUGAAAUAUGGACUGUCUCUAAUUUAUAAAUUGAAUUUUAUUUUUUAGUAAAAAAGCUAAAAUAAAUUUAAAAGACGAGAAGACCCUAUAGAGUUUUAUAUUUAAUUUUAUUUUAAAAUUAUAUAAAAAUUAAUAUUAAAAAUAAAAUUAAAUAUUAUAUUGGGGUGAUAGAAAAAUUAAAUUAACUUUUUUUAAAAAUUAAACAUAAAUAAAUGAUUAUAUGAUCCAUAGAUAAUGAUUAUAAGAAAAAAUUACCUUAGGGAUAACAGCGUAAUAUUUUUUUUUAGUUCAAAUAAAAAAAAAAGUUUGCGACCUCGAUGUUGGAUUAAGAUAAAAUUUAAAUGCAAAAGUUUAAAAUUUUGAUCUGUUCGAUCAUUAAAAUCUUACA
This 513-nucleotide ribosomal RNA is filed under the name Melanargia syriaca. Its description in RNAcentral is "partial 16S ribosomal RNA". Lineage: Eukaryota; Metazoa; Arthropoda; Insecta; Lepidoptera; Nymphalidae. The record is from RNAcentral.